RNAcentral lists this ribosomal RNA (392 nucleotides) under uncultured bacterium. RNAcentral describes it as "partial 16S ribosomal RNA". It matches the Rfam family "Bacterial small subunit ribosomal RNA", at positions 523 to 918 of the family's 1533-position model. The record is from RNAcentral.
AUACGGAGGAUCCGAGCGUUAUCCGGAUUUAUUGGGUUUAAAGGGUGCGCAGGCGGCCAUUUAAGUCAGCGGUUAAAUCGUGGGGCUCAACCCCAUUCUGCCAUUGAUACUGGGUGGCUUGAUUGCGGUCGAGGUUGGCGGAAUUCGUUGUGUAGCGGUGAAAUGCAUAGAUAUGACGAAGAACACCGAUUGCGUAGGCAGCUGACCAGACCGCAAAUGACGCUCAUGCACGAAAGUGCGGGGAUCGAACAGGAUUAGAUACCCUGGUAGUCCGCACAGUAAACGAUGAAUACUUGUUUUCGGCGAUAUAAUGUCGGAGGCAAAGCGAAAGCGAUAAGUAUUCCACCUGGGGAGUACGCCGGCAACGGUGAAACUCAAAUGAAUUGGCGGGG